RNAcentral lists this ribosomal RNA (440 nucleotides) under uncultured bacterium. RNAcentral's name for it is "partial 16S ribosomal RNA". It matches the Rfam family "Bacterial small subunit ribosomal RNA", at positions 338 to 795 of the family's 1533-position model. The record is from RNAcentral.
CCUACGGGAGGCUGCAGUGGGGGAUAUUGCACAAUGGGGGGAACCCUGAUGCAGCGACGCCGCGUGGGUGAAGGAGCGUUUCGGCGCGUAAAGCCCUAUCCGCAGGGAAGAAGAUGACGGUACCUGCCCAAGAAUCCCCGGCUAACUACGUGCCAGCAGCCGCGGUAAUACGUCGGGGGCAAGCGUUAUCCGGCUUUACUGGGGGUAAAGGGGGCGCCGACGGAUAGGCAAGCCAGGAGUGAAAGCCCGGGGCCCAACCCCGGAACUGCUCUUGAAAAUGCAUGGCUGGAGUACAGGAGGGGCAGGCGGAAUUCCUAGUGUAGCGGUGAAAUGCGUAGAUAUUAGGAGGAACACCGGUGGCGAAGGCGGCCUGCUGGACUGUGACUGACGUUGAGGCCCGAAGGCGUGGGGAGCAAACAGGAUUAGAUACCCGAGUAGUC